UACGUAGGGACCAAGCGUUGUUCGGAUUUACUGGGCGUAAAGGGCGCGUAGGCGGCUUUGUAAGUCAGUUGUGAAAUCUCCGGGCUUAACUCGGAACGGCCAAGUGAUACUGCAAUGCUAGAGUGCAGAAGGGGCAAUCGGAAUUCUUAGUGUAGCGGUGAAAUGCGUAGAUAUCAAGAGGAACACCUGAGGUGAAGACGGGUUGCUGGGCUGACACUGACGCUGAUGCGCGAAAGCCAGGGGAGCAAACGGG
This 253-nucleotide ribosomal RNA is filed under the name uncultured bacterium. Its description in RNAcentral is "partial 16S ribosomal RNA". It matches the Rfam family "Bacterial small subunit ribosomal RNA", at positions 524 to 776 of the family's 1533-position model. The record is from RNAcentral.